RNAcentral lists this ribosomal RNA (470 nucleotides) under uncultured bacterium. RNAcentral describes it as "bacterial SSU rRNA". It matches the Rfam family "Bacterial small subunit ribosomal RNA", at positions 8 to 526 of the family's 1533-position model. The record is from RNAcentral.
AGAGUUUGAACCUGGCUCAAAAUGAACGCUGGCGGCGUGCCUAACACAUGCAAGUCGAACGGUCGCAAGACAGUGGCGGACGGGUGAGUAACGCGUGGGAAUCUGCCCUCAGGUAGGAAAUAACGAUGGGAAACCGCCGCUAAUGUCCUAUAUAGCGCAGGCUGAAAGAUUAAUCGCCUGAGGAUGAGCCCGCGUCCGAUUAGCUAGUUGGUAGGGUAAAGGCCUACCAAGGCGACGAUCGGUAGCUGGUCUGAGAGGAUGAUCAGCCACACUGGGACUGAGACACGGCCCAGACUCCUACGGGAGGCAGCAGUGGGGAAUUUUCCGCAAUGGGCGCAAGCCUGACGGAGCAACGCCGCGUGGGUGAAGAAGGCCCGUGGGUCGUAAAGCCCUUUUGUCAGGGACGAACAAGAUGACGGUACCUGACGAAUCAGCAUCGGCUAACUCCGUGCCAGCAGCCGCGGUAAUUC